GCUCCGAUAGCUCAGUUGGCCAGAGCGCCUCACUUGUAAUGAGGAUGUCGUCAGUUCGAAUCUGACUCGGAGCUCCA
RNAcentral lists this transfer RNA (77 nucleotides) under bacterium. RNAcentral's name for it is "tRNA-Thr". It matches the Rfam family "tRNA". Rfam says of the family: Transfer RNA (tRNA) molecules are approximately 80 nucleotides in length. The record is from RNAcentral.